RNAcentral lists this ribosomal RNA (253 nucleotides) under uncultured bacterium. Its description in RNAcentral is "partial 16S ribosomal RNA". It matches the Rfam family "Bacterial small subunit ribosomal RNA", at positions 524 to 776 of the family's 1533-position model. The record is from RNAcentral.
UACGUAGGGGGCAAGCGUUGUCCGGAUUUAUUGGGCGUAAAGAGCGUGUAGGCGGCUAGGUAGGUCCGUUGUGAAAACUCGAGGCUCAACCUCGAGACGUCGAUGGAAACCAUCUAGCUAGAGUCCGGAAGAGGAGAGUGGAAUUCUUGGUGUAGCGGUGAAAUGCGCAGAUAUCAGGAAGAACACCCGUGGCGAAGGCGGCUCUCUGGUACGUGACUGACGCUGAGACGCGAAAGCGUGGGGAGCGAACAGG